GCUCCGCUGGUGAACCAGCGGAGGGAUCAUUACAGGACUCCCAAGCCUCCUACAAUUUUUUGAAGUUAACGAUAAGCACGUUGCUUCCGCGCGUGUCUCGGAGGGGGCUCCCGCACCCCUAGACGCUAAACCCGCUGGCAUCUUACUAUAUACUUUUUCUUUGCGUUAGCACUUUGAGCACAGUCAAACAUGGUAAAACCUUCAACAACGGAUGCCGUGGAUCUGGCAUCGACGAAGAAGGCAUCAGGUCGGAAUCACACACGUCUGAUGCCCAGUCCC
Molecule: unclassified non-coding RNA, 279 nt
Filed under: plant metagenome
Description: partial contains small subunit ribosomal RNA, internal transcribed spacer 1, and 5.8S ribosomal RNA
Source: RNAcentral